GUGCCUCAGGGUUAUUGACAGUCCGUGCUGCCGCCGCUGCUGCUACCCAAAUGGUCGAUGCGUCGUGGAAAUCGGCCUUUAUACUGUGGCGAAGGCAGCGCCGGAGCAGGACGAUGUCCUCACUACGCAGGGUCGGUGACACACCAGAACAGUUGAUCCUGGCUCUCUCGGGCAAGUGGCAGAUUGCGUCUCAAGUUCGCACAGUUACACCAGUCACACUUUCUUGUAGCCCGGUUAACCUGCGCGGAAAUGGCAAGGUGCCUCAGGGUUAUUGACAGUCCGUGCUGCCGCCGCUGCUGCUGCUGCCCAAAUGGUCGAUGCGUCGUGGAAAUCGGCCUUUAUACUGUGGCGAAGGCAGCGCCGGAGCAGGACGAUGUCCUCACUUUGCAGGGUCGGUGACACACCAGAUCAGUUGAUACUGGCUCUCUUGGGCAAGUGGCAGAUUGCGUUGCAAGUUCGCACAGUCACACCAGUCACACUUUCUUGUAUCCCGGUUAACGUGCGCGGAAAUGGCAAGGUGCCUCAGGGUUAUUGACAGUCCGUGCUGCCGCCGCUGCUGCUUCUGCCCAAAUGGUCGAUGCGUCGUGGAAAUCGGCCUUUAUACUGUGGCGAAGGCAGCGCCGGAGCAGGACGAUGUCCUCACUUUGCAGGGUCGGUGACACACCAGAUCAGUUGAUACUGGCUCUCUUGGGCAAGUGGCAGAUUGCGUUGCAAGUUCGCACAGUCAUACCAGUCACACUUUCUUGUAUCCCGGUUAACGUGCGCCGAAAUGGCAACGUGCCUCAGGGUUAUUGACAGUCCGUGCUGCCGCCGCUGCUGCUGCUGCCCAAAUGGUCGAUGCGUCGUGGAAAUCGGCCUUUAUACUGUGGCGAAGGCAGCGCCGGAGCAGGACGAUGUCCUCACUUUGCAGGGUCGGUGACACACCAGAUCAGUUGAUACUGGCUCUCUUGGGCAAGUGGCAGAUUGCGUUGCAAGUUCGCACAGUCACACCAGUCACGCUUUCUUGUAUCCCGGUUAACGUGCGCGGAAAUGGCAAGGUGCCUCAGGGUUAUUGACAGUCCGUGCUGCCGCCGCUGCUGCUUCUGCGCAAAUGGUCGAUGCGUCGUGGAAAUCGGCCUUUAUACUGUGGCGAAGGCAGCGCCGGAGCAGGACGAUGUCCUCACUUUGCAGGGUCGGUGACACACCAGAUCAGUUGAUACUGGCUCUCUUGGGCAAGUGGCAGAUUGCGUUGCAAGUUCGCACAGUCACACCAGUCACACUUUCAUGUAUCCCUGUUA
This is a long non-coding RNA of Dermacentor silvarum, 1277 nucleotides long. RefSeq lists it as uncharacterized. Lineage: Eukaryota; Metazoa; Arthropoda; Arachnida; Ixodida; Ixodidae. The transcript is spliced from 3 exons. The record is from RefSeq and is a predicted model, not a curated record.